AAUUUGUCCUAUUCUCAUUUAUAUUUUACUUAAUUAUUUUGGAAAAAAAGAUUCGGAAGAAUCAGGUUCGAGAAAAGGAAUACUUUUGCUGUGUCUGACACACACACAACAGAAAGAAAGAAAGAUCCAGUAUUCAGUGUGCGCGUCCAACGAAGCCGAUUGGUCUGCUUAGCAAUGGUGGUUGCUCCCUCCAUUCGGCUUUUCCCACCUUCCUUCUCCUCCAUUCCCUUUCCUCAUCGCUCUCCCUUUUCUUCCCGUUGGCGCUCUCCUUCUUCCGUCUCUCUUCUCCUUCCCAUUCACUCUCGCCUCCAAUCCACUUCCGCAAAUGGAGAUAUUGGGGUUGAAUUACCUGGUGAUCAGGCAGAGAUUAUAUUCAUGGGGACUGGAACCAGUGAAGGGAUACCUAGAGUUAGCUGCUUGACUAAUCCUCUGAAAAAAUGUCCGGUAUGUUCAAAGGCUGCUCAGCCGGGCAAUAAGAAUAGGAGACUUAACACGAGCAUCCUUGUUCGUCACCCGGGCUCCUCAGGAACUCACAACAUUCUUAUAGAUGCUGGAAAAUUUUUCUAUCACAGUGCUCUGCAAUGGUUUCCUGCAUUUGGGAUAAGAACACUUGAUGCAGUAAUUAUCACUCAUUCACAUGCAGAUGCCAUUGGAGGUCUUGAUGAUCUUAGAGAUUGGACAAACAAUGUUCAGCCACACAUUCCAAUAUACGUGGCCAAGCGUGAUUUUGAGCUUGCUUUCAACCUUAGGUUGUUGACUAUUCAAGUAUAUAUAUCUAGUCUUAAUGCUUUCUCUGGAUUUCUUGUGGAAGUUAUGCAACUAAUUAUAUUGAAGGUGAUGAAGAAUACCCAUUAUUAUUUAGUAGAUACUAGUGUCAUCACAACUGGUGCUGCUGUCUCAGACUUGCAAUUCAAUAUUAUAUCUGAAGAACCAUUUUCUGUACAUGGACUGAAGGUCAAUCUUACUAAAAUUUAUUACUCCAUUACCAGUGUGGCAUGGCAAAGGUUACCGAUCCCUUGGAUUUCGUUUCGGUAAUAUUUGUUACAUAAGUGAUGUCAGUGAUAUUCCAGAAGAAACUUAUCCACUUUUGAAGGAUUGUGAAAUUCUAAUAUUGGACGCUCUACGGCCUGAUCGCUCCUCUGCCACACAUUUUGGACUUCCAAGGGCGCUAGAUGAAGUCCGAAAAAUUCAACCCAAAAGGACACUCUUUACAGGUAUGAUGCAUCUGAUGGAUCAUGAAGAAGUGAAUGACUAUCUUACAAAAUUAUUGGAAUCUGAGGGCCUUGAUGUACAAUUGAGCUAUGAUGGGCUUCGUAUUCCAAUCACAGUUUAGCUUGCAACCAUAUUCUCAUUCAUAUAGAAAAAGAUCAAUGUUGAGAUGAAGAUCAGUACAAUUUUUUUGACAAUAUGAAUAAAUCAACCCUGCAGACUCUUGCAGCUAUUUAACUUUUUUUCCCCUCUUUUCUGUUUUAUUUCCUCUCACUUUUUGAAUCUGUGUGCAAGUGUGUGUCAAACAACAUUAAGGAUGAUGGCACACAUAAAAAUAAGUGGGAAAUGUUAGGAAAUUAAUACUUUUGGUAGAAAAAAAAUAUGAGUUAGUUAU
This is a non-coding RNA of Arachis ipaensis, 1603 nucleotides long. NCBI's taxonomy places the organism in Eukaryota, Viridiplantae, Streptophyta, Magnoliopsida, Fabales, Fabaceae. The record is from RefSeq and is a predicted model, not a curated record.